GGAAGUGACUGGAUGUGGAGAGGAGUGUAUCCGCGAAGGAACGCACAAGUGGCCUGACCUGCAGAAGAACGCUAGCUAGGCACUAGGCAUGCCGGCAAGGUCAGCUGAGAGCUGACCCCAGUGCAACGUGGAGGAGUUUGGUUGGGGCAGUCGGAGGAGCACCUGGGCCGCCAAGCGGCCAGACUUCGGGGGAAAGCCAUCUCUCUUCUGGCGCCUUUAUCGGCAGAGAGCUACUUGUACUCAAAACCUUGCACUCAUUCUCCAAGCCCACGUGGGUAAGAUUCACCCACACUGCGGAGGGCGUCGGAGCUCCACAGCCUGCCUGUCUGUAUGCUCCCAUAGAGGUUUGAGCAGCGGGGCACUGGAGAAGCAAGUCACACCCCCAUUGCACGCCAUGGGAGUAGGACAAGCUCUGCUUUCUUACCAAAUCCUUGACAUUACAAUGGCCAUGUGACCUUUGGUGUGGACAGUAUGAUAAAGCAUCAAGAUUCUCUUGAGACACUUUGGAGGAUAUCAUGCUACAUUGUACAGAUAAGGUAGGAGAAGGAAAC
RNAcentral lists this long non-coding RNA (551 nucleotides) under Homo sapiens (human). RNAcentral's name for it is "non-protein coding lnc-FGF9-3:11". Lineage: Eukaryota; Metazoa; Chordata; Mammalia; Primates; Hominidae. The record is from RNAcentral.